Molecule: ribosomal RNA, 330 nt
Filed under: uncultured Lachnospiraceae bacterium
Lineage: Bacteria; Bacillati; Bacillota; Clostridia; Lachnospirales; Lachnospiraceae
Description: bacterial SSU rRNA
Rfam family: Bacterial small subunit ribosomal RNA
Source: RNAcentral
GAUGAACGCUGGCGGCGUGCUUAACACAUGCAAGUCGAACGAGGCUGCACAGCGGAAGUUUUCGGAUGGAAGCAGUGCAGACCGAGUGGCGGACGGGUGAGUAACGCGUGGGGAACCUGCCCCAUUCCGGGGGAUACCAGCUGGAAACGGCUGUUAAUACCGCAUAAGCGCACGUGAAGGCAUCUUCGUGUGUGAAAAACUGAGGUGGAAUGGGAUGGCCCCCGCGUCUGAUUAGCCAGUUGGCAGGGUAACGGCCUACCAAAGCGACGAUCAGUAGCCGGCCUGAGAGGGCGACCGGCCACAUUGGGACUGAGACACGGCCCAAACUCC